UGAUGAUGGUGGUAGUAGUGGUAAUGAUGAUGAUGGUAGUAGUAGUGGUAAUGAUGAUGAUGGUAGUGGUGGUAAUGAUGAUGGUGGUAGUAGUGGUAUUGAUGAUGGUGGUAGUAGUGGUAAUGAUGAUGGUGGUAGUAGUAGUGGUAAUGAUGAUGGUGGUGGUAGUAGUGGUAAUAAUGAUGGUGGUAGUAGUAGUGGUAAUGAUGAUGAUGGUAGUAGUAGUGGUAAUGAUGGUGGUGGUAGUAGUGGUAAUGAUGAUGGUGGUAGUAGUGGUAAUGAUGAUGGUGGUGGUAGUAGUGGUAAUAAUGAUGGUGGUAGUAGUAGUGGUAAUGAUGAUGAUGGUAGUAGUAGUGGUAAUGAUGGUGGUGGUAGUAGUAGUGGUAAUGAUGAUGGUGGUAGUAGUAGUGGUAAUGAUGAUGAUGGUAGUAGUAGUGGUAAUGAUGAUGAUGGUGGUAGUAGUGGUAAUGAUGAUGGUGGUAGUAGUGGUAAUGAUGAUGGUUUUAGUAGUAGUGGUAAUGAUGAUGGUGGUGGUAUAAGUGGUAAUGAUGAUGGUGGUAGUAGUGGUAAUGAUGAUGGUGGUAGUAGUAAU
This is a long non-coding RNA of Oncorhynchus tshawytscha (Chinook salmon), 592 nucleotides long. NCBI's taxonomy places the organism in Eukaryota, Metazoa, Chordata, Actinopteri, Salmoniformes, Salmonidae. The record is from Ensembl.